RNAcentral lists this transfer RNA (68 nucleotides) under Allobates nunciatus. Its description in RNAcentral is "tRNA-Ser". The record is from RNAcentral. Lineage: Eukaryota; Metazoa; Chordata; Amphibia; Anura; Aromobatidae.
GAGUAUGACGGCUCACAAUGAGAACUGCUAAUUCCUCAUCUCCGUGGUUCAAAUCCACGGCUUACUCA